Molecule: long non-coding RNA, 835 nt
Organism: Dalotia coriaria
Lineage: Eukaryota; Metazoa; Arthropoda; Insecta; Coleoptera; Staphylinidae
Exons: 3
Source: RefSeq, a predicted model, not a curated record
CACUAGGUGAAAUUUUGACAGUUUGGUGCGAAAAAAUGACAGAUGUAAACAAACCACAUUUUCUUUUCAUUUCUUCACCAAAUCUUCUGAUUUUUUAGUUUAUUACUUUGGAUGUGAAAUUCAGUUUUACAGAUUAAUUCUCACAGAGGUUGUGAACAGCAAGGCAAGAUGUUUUUAAUAGAUUACAAACAUUUCAGCAGAAUGAAUCGUGUACAUUGAACCCUGGAAAUUGUGAUUGAGCAAUCUGAAUCUUGUAACAUUGAAAUAGUGGUCCAUAUUAUGAAUAACAAUGCUGAUUUCAAACUAACAUUUUCAUGGUAGAGUAAUGGGAACUUUCAAAUACUAACCACAUUUAAUAUUCUGCUGUUUCAAGUUGAGGACAGAGAUUAUAUAUGGCACAAAAACAUCUUCUACAGAACUAACAAAAUAUAAAUUAUAAAGAACAGCAUCAGUUUGUACUUUUCUGCACUAAUUAUGAUGUGUCAUCAACACACUCUUAAUGGACUUAACAAAAAGAAGUAAUUUAUUCUUCUCAACUGGUGUAUGGAGUUAUACAUCUUAUGAUUAUAGAGAUGUGGUAUUACAUAAUGUUUGAUUAAACAGUUGCUGUUUGUUAAUAUGUUGAAUUAGAUGAAUUAGAUGUUUGCAUAGAUUCAAUGUUGUAUAUAGAAGCAUGCUGUUCAAUUGUACAUUUUUAUUGCACAUUUAUUGAAAGGUUUUGUAAGCUUUAUAACAUUUAUAACUGCUGUAUUAACUUAUAAGUGUAAAACAUUUGGUAUAUUUUUAAGUAUGUUUUGCUGUUUUAAUGAAUAAACAAUCAUUAAUGGUGUGAAAA